AUGAACGCUGGCGGCGUGCUUAACACAUGCAAGUCGAACGGAAAGGCCAGUGCUUGCACUGGUACUCGAGUGGCGAACGGGUGAGUAACACGUGGGUGAUCUGCCCUGUACUUCGGGAUAAGCUUGGGAAACUGGGUCUAAUACCGGAUAGGACAACUUUUUGGAUAUUGUUGUGGAAAGCUUUUGCGGUAUGGGAUGAGCUCGCGGCCUAUCAGCUUGUUGGUGGGGUAAUGGCCUACCAAGGCGUCGACGGGUAGCCGGCCUGAGAGGGUGUACGGCCACAUUGGGACUGAGAUACGGCCCAGACUCCUACGGGAGGCAGCAGUGGGGAAUAUUGCACAAUGGGCGCAAGCCUGAUGCAGCGACGCCGCGUGGGGGAUGAAGGCCUUCGGGUUGUAAACUCCUUUCGCUAGGGACGAAGCUUUUUUGUGACGGUACCUGGAGAAGAAGCACCGGCUAACUACGUG
This 467-nucleotide ribosomal RNA is filed under the name uncultured bacterium. Its description in RNAcentral is "partial 16S ribosomal RNA". It matches the Rfam family "Bacterial small subunit ribosomal RNA", at positions 29 to 507 of the family's 1533-position model. The record is from RNAcentral.